CCUACGGGAGGCAGCAGUGGGGAAUCUUGCGCAAUGGGCGAAAGCCUGACGCAGCCAUGCCGCGUGUAUGAUGAAGGUCUUAGGAUUGUAAAAUACUUUCACCGGUGAAGAUAAUGACUGUAGCCGGAGAAGAAGCCCCGGCUAACUUCGUGCCAGCAGCCGCGGUAAUACGAAGGGGGCUAGCGUUGCUCGGAAUUACUGGGCGUAAAGGGAGCGUAGGCGGACAUUUAAGUCAGGGGUGAAAUCCCAGAGCUCAACUCUGGAACUGCCUUUGAUACUGGGUGUCUUGAGUGUGAUAGAGGUAUGUGGAACUCCGAGUGUAGAGGUGAAAUUCGUAGAUAUUCGGAAGAACACCAGUGGCGAAGGCGACAUACUGGAUCAUUACUGACGCUGAGGCUCGAAAGCGUGGGGAGCAAACAGGAUUAGAUACCCUGGUAGUCCACGCCGUAAACGAUGAUUGCUAGUUGUCGGGAUGUUUACAUCUCGGUGACGCAGCUACGCAUAAGACACUCCGCCGUGGGUAGGUACGGUCGCGAGAUAAACUACAAGUAGAGUAGACGCGUGAGACGUGACGACGACGACGACGAGGGAGGAGG
This 596-nucleotide ribosomal RNA is filed under the name uncultured bacterium. Its description in RNAcentral is "bacterial SSU rRNA". The stretch from base 1 to 516 matches the Rfam family "Bacterial small subunit ribosomal RNA", at positions 338 to 873 of the family's 1533-position model. The record is from RNAcentral.